GCACACUGCAAACAGAAGCAACCCUUUCUUCUCUGUAGCCAGUUGGAUUGCCAAAUGCUCCUCCUCCACUCCUGGUCCUUCAUGUUCCUCUAAAGAAGACCUCCCAGUUCUCUUCUGCCUUGUUCGUGACCCAAAAGAGGCCUUUUAAUGGAAGUGUUCCUAGCAGAUCACCUCUUGGUCUUCUCCAUCAAUUACUAACUGUGACUCCUGCCGCUCCAUAGUAUAAAUGGCGAUAUUGGGUGAAUAGCUCCGAUACGUUUAUUGAUCUGAAUAUCAGGGUGUUAUCAAAGUCUACUGGAUUGUAUCACAGAUUUAGGGCUCUAAUUUAAUGACAUUUCUGAAAGAGCGAAAUACCCACAUCCCUGUCUCUCCCCGACAACUGGCAAAAACGGGGAACGCAGCUCUGAACACGAUCAAAUCAAGGGUGUCGACUCAGAGUGAGAUCGUACAGCUUCAAAAGUAAUGUCGAUCUGCUCGCAACUUCACGCAAACCCAGCAGAGCCCCCAGCAGGACCCCCACGUACCCGCCUCUCAAUCCGGAGUUCGGGACGGGGGAGCACCCCUACCCGGGUCCUUCCCGCCGGCCGCCCGGAAAGCCCGGAGCGCGGAAGCGGAGCGACCCUCGGCAGCCGGGGGACGGGCAUGCUCAGUAGACCCGCAGGUCUGGUUUCACUCGGAAGCCAGCCGCGGACCCCGCCCCCUCCCGCCCCGCACGGGCGCCCGGAGAAGCGGACAUUUUAACCUUCUCUGCCAUCCGCUCCCUCUUUCGUGUCCUUCGCCCCCUGUCUGAGUCCUUCCACCUCUCGCCCAUCGGGGUCUGGGGACAUUAACUUGAAGAAAAUCAGCUGUUUGCCAAGAAAGGAGGGCUUGGAUGAAAGAGGAUGAAAGGAAGCUUGUCUCACUUGCAGGAGGAGGAAACGCAGCAAUGCACAAAUAGUCUCUUGUCUAUCAAAGCCAGCUCCAAACAAUCAUCGUAAUGUCCAGACUUGGGGGAGGAGCAGGGGAGCCAGCGCCCGUUUGGUCAGCUCCUGAGUGUGCUGAGCGUAAAGGCUGGACACUCGACGUGGCUUUGCAGAGAGGACAGUUAACCUGACCCAGCCUUCACACGGGACUGCAUCUGCCACAGAUGAUCUAUUUCAGAUCUUGCCACUUUUCAAAUGCCAGCAAGGUCAGCAACGGCACCAUUUCACCAGCACCAUCAUCAUCAGUUCUGAUAAAAAAUGUCCCAUAUCCACUACCGACUGCAGUAUAGUCUCCAAGUGGUAGAUUGUGGGUCAUGGACUGGGUCUGGAAGAGGCCUUACUAGAAAACUGAGACUCCAAGAGGCGAGAUGUACACUCAGCUACAGGAGCUGGGAAGGAGCUGCGGGAUCUCCCCAGCACCCCAGGACCCCGGCACAGACCCGGCACAGAGGAGGUCCUCUGUAAACGCUUGUUGCAUGAUCGCGUCUGUUGAUGAAUGAAUGAGUCAAAUCCUGCCCACAGUGCACAUAUAGUUCCAUGCCCUGGACUUCAUCCUAGUCAAUGAAAAUCUAUUAGGAGGGGGUUCAUCUUGUUAAUAUAAUGAACGGAAUAUUUCACAAAACUUUCUAACUAUAGAAAAGUCUGCUUGGGAUCUUUAAUAUAGUGUAGUUGGGUAGUAGGUUUUUAUUAAUACACAAGAGAAAAUAUUAGCUAGGAGAAUCACACACACACACAAACUGAAGAAAGAAAGAAAAGUAUUAGAACUCAUAAUCAAUGUUUAGCACAGUCCAAUAGAAACACCCAGAAGCUGCCUGCCCUGGGAUGGUACAUUCCAUCCACUUAUCAAACAUCUACUAUGUGCCAGGAAAUAAAGAAUGGAUAAUCACAGCCCUGCAGGAACCAGGGAGAGCCAGCACACAUGCCUUUUACCUGGUGUGGCACUUAUGAGCUUACUGGCUCCACUGAGGGGCACCGCUGGUGGCUGCGAGAGAGAGAUUUCAAAACCCCCAGAGACACUAGCUUGCGGGUUGGGACUCAAAGCCAGGUUUCAGGUGCACCAGGCUCUAACUCAGCCCAGAUUGCUUCCCAGAGUCCUCAGGAGAUGGCAUCAAUUUCUCCCCAGGAAUCCAGGUUGGGCAGAGGACAGGUGGCAGGAGGCCUGGGGUGGUAGCAUGCAGGGCAGACUGAUAUCAAGACCACCUGGGGAGACACUUCACACUGUGGCUCUCGGCUGGACGGUCAUAAAGAGAUCCAGUGCUGAGUUGGUGUCAGGUGCUGCAUGACUCACCGAAUCCUGGUAACAGACCUGCGAAGUAGGAGCUGUUAAACCCCUGUGGACAGGUGAUGAAUCCAAGGCUCAGAAAGCUUAAGUAACUUGUCCAAGGUCACACAGGAGGAAGUGCUGGAGCUGAGGUUCUUUCCCAGGCUGGGGACUCCACAGCUCAUGUCUUUUUUUUUUUUUUUUUUUAAUUGAGUUGUGAUUUACAUACAGUAAAAUUGACCAUUUUCAAUGGUGUACAGUUCUGUGAGCAAAUGCAUACAGUUGUAUAACCACCACCCCUAUCAACAUAUAGAACAUGUCUAUCACCCUCGAAAAUUCCUUUGGAUCCCUUUAUAAUUAAUUCCCUCCUUCGCUUCACUCACAGCCCUGGGCAUCUAGUCAUCCAUUUUCUGUCUGUUUUGCCUUUUCCAGAAUGUCAUUUACAAGGAAUCAUAUAGGUUUUUGAGACUGGCUCCUUUCACUUAGCAAAAUACAUUUGAGAUUCAUUCUUCUUCUGUUGCUCCAUACCUCUGUUGUUUGUUCCUUUUUAUUGAUGAGUUCUAUUACAUUUUAUGGACAUGUCAUGCUUUGUUUCCACGUAGUAGUUGAAGGACGUUUGGGUGGUGCCCAACUUGGGGGGAUUCUGAAUAAGGGGGCAUAAACAUCUGUGCACAGGCCUUCAUGUGAACUGAAGUGUUCAUUUCUCUUGGGUGAAUACCUAGGGGUGGGACUGCAUGGCUCAUGCUUCUCACCAGGUCUAUGAUGCUACAGAACUGGAUAUUCAGGACUCGGGAGAUGCUAACAGCCCCUGCUGUUCGAG
Long non-coding RNA from Equus asinus (donkey), 3043 nucleotides. Lineage: Eukaryota; Metazoa; Chordata; Mammalia; Perissodactyla; Equidae. The record is from Ensembl.